Triticum dicoccoides is the source of this 3667-nucleotide long non-coding RNA. RefSeq lists it as uncharacterized. The transcript has 2 exons. The record is from RefSeq and is a predicted model, not a curated record. NCBI's taxonomy places the organism in Eukaryota, Viridiplantae, Streptophyta, Magnoliopsida, Poales, Poaceae.
GCCGCCCCUCCACGGAGCCAAGCUCGCGUGCCGCCCCCCUCCCACCGCGCCGAGCUCGCAAGCCACCGCCGCCGGCGACCCCAACCGGCCGCCCCUCGUCAGUUCGUGUGUUCCAUCCGCACCAAAAUCGCCGUCCACCGCUUCCCGGGGAUCCCUGUGCGCCGCCGCCCACCAGAACGAUGCUUCCAGCAUUCGUGUUCUCCAAAAGUCAACACGACAUAGCUGCUUCCUCCGGCAACACCUCCUACCGGCGCCGGCGGUCAGAUCCCCAAAGCUCCCCUUCCCUCUCGAUCUCACUUCCCUGCUGCUGGAAAUUUAGUGGUUCAACUUCCUCUAAAAUUUCUGAGGUUACCUUGUUAGUAGUUCACCUUUGCUAAAUUCUGUAGUCCACCAUUGCUAAAAAUCAUCUUAUGAUUUUUGGACAAUGUUUUGUGCGAUUCAUUUGUUCAUCUUCAGAACUUGGAGAUAUUAAGUCUAUUUUUUUCUAUGAUGAAGGUACAAAUGAGCUCCAUCUUCAAUGGUUAUCCCCCUAGUGCUUCAAAGAUGCCUAUUUUGUUUUCCCCAUGGCGCAGCGAGGAUGAUAGUGUUGACACUUACAAAAUUGUUUUCUGUGUUGCUAUGUUGUCAGUCCAAAGUGUGGUGAAGAUGCAGCCCUGGGUGUGUAGAUGAUGCGGUGUGUGUCUGGUUGUGUGUGUGUGCAUGAUGAUUGGUAGCUGUUGUGUGUGUGCAGUGUACGUCUGAUGAUAGCGAGUAGGCGGCAAGUGUACUAGUGAGCAGCUACUGAACUGAUUCUAACACUGCAACAUUAAUCCACUCUGCCUCCUCCGAUGAGUUCUUCAGUCCAAGUUCUCCCACGAUUCCGUCUCUGGUUUUGUUUCCCUUAACAUUGGUAAGAUAAAAGAUCAUUCAACUUCAAAUCUGUUUGGACUGAUAGUUCAACUUCUUUCGUACAAAAGGUUCAAAAAGUUUUGUACCUGAAAAUGCACAUAUUUGGAGUGCGUGAAUAUAUUUAGACUUCUACAAACCCCAAAACUAUGCAGAGUUAGGAUUGUUACUACCUUGUUUCUUACUAUCGAUUCAUUUUUUAUGAGAAGGUAUUAAGUUGGUACAUGUAGUUGGACAUCUCAAUAUACUGUAAUGUGUUUUUUUGCAUAGUACCUUGAAAUUAUGUUAGCAAUUCUGAAUUACGAUUGUGCUUGAAACUGAAAAUGAUUCUGUAACUUCUCAAACCUCGUGGACUUGAUGCUUAAAAUACUUCCAGAACGAAUUGAUUCUUGUUCUUUCAUGAUCAGUUCAGCAAAUAAUUUUUUAGUUCAUUCCAAUUUCAAAUUCUCAUUUUAGUUUAGUCAAAGUUUCUUAUUUUUGUUCAGUACAGUAUCCAAGUUUAUUUAAGUUCAAUUCUUAUUUUAGUUUUAGUUCAUUUCAAUUCUUAUUUUAGUAAAUCUGUAGUCUAUGGAUUUUAUUUGGCCUAGAUUGCUAGAUGUACUAACUUGUUGUGCCAAGGCAAUCUAAAACAUUAAGUGUUGCUACUAUAAUUCGUUCAUUGUUUCACGCCUCCCCGCAGACGCGCGCCCCCACCUCCCCGCCGACGCCUACAAAUUAGAGUUCACUAAAAAAUGUGCUUGAAAUUUCAAUUUUUACGAACCAAAUAAUUUCUUAUUUACAGAUCUAAAUCGUGCGACUUCUCCAACUAGCUUAUGUUGUUUCUGACAUUGCUCUAAACCAUUUCUCAGUAAUAUUUUGUACGUAGCAAUGGACUUGGAAGGAUUUCAGUCCAUCACGCUAGUUGUCAAAAAGGUGUUGUUUGCUUUUGAAUGUAUAUGAUGACUUGAUUACCUAGGAAUUUAAACAUGGUAACUGUUUGCAGAAUAAUAUUUUGUAUAUAGGUACUGUCAUUUCUACGAACAGCCAGUUCCAUUAUACCUGUUGUUCGCCAUCGACGGUGCUGCCAUUUGAGUUUAUGGCUCUGUCCAUGGAGGCUUCCUAGAAGUUUCUCUGUUUCCAUGUAUGGUGUUCCAUGACAGAGGCCGUGACACGUGAUGUUCCUUGGUUAGGAUUGGUUUACUUUGGAUCUCAUAGUAGGAGGACAGGCACGACGUGCAUUCAGUCUCAGAACCUGAAACUAACCUGACUGAGGUGGCAUUCAGUUUUCAGUGAUUAAUCUCCAUUUAUUUGCUAGUAGUUUCACCUGCUUUUUUGAAUUAAAAAGAACAAAACUUAACUAGUUUGACCACUGUGUGACCGCAAGGCAUAAGGAAGGAAGGGCCACCGUCCGAGGCGACGCGUACAUAUGUACACCCGGGAUUUAGGACAAGACACAACACCCGCUGCGGCGUACGUAGUACACUGAGGACUCCCUCGUCACUGGCAAAGACAAGAAAACUAGCAGCGUCCUUAGCCAGGUCUGAUACAUAUAGAGUCUUAUAUUAUUUGAUUUGAUCAUAGUACAUGUAGCCUCUGCCUAUGUAGUAUGUAACGAACGAGAUGACAAGCAUCAACAUGUAGUAUAUGUGAGUGAGAGGAACACAACUACUCCCUCCGUUCCAAAAUAGAUGACUCAACUUUAUACUAACUUUAGUACAAAAUUGGGUCAUCUAUUUUGGAACAGAGGGAGUACUUCAGUAUGGCUAGCCUAAGUGGUGUGAACUGAAAACCAAUCCUCAACACAUCUGGUUCUUUCUUUUGUGAGAGAUGAUUUCCUCCCGAUUUCUGGAACUCACAACCAUAGUUAUAAUAUAGUGUUUGGUCAUCCUUAGCAGGUAGGUGUAAACAACAUAGACGCUUACAACCAAAGCUAGCCGACGGCGCAUAAGCUACCUGCAAAAGAGAAGCCCUUCUUACAUCCACAACAUCCUAAUUUUUAUUCAGUUCAAUUUCCAAUUUUAGUUCAGUUGAUUCUUAUUUUUAGUUUAGUCAGUUUCUUAUUUUAUUUUCCUUUAAUUUCUAAUUCUUUUUCAGUUCAGUUUCUAAUUUUACUAAAGUUCAAUUUCUAAUUCCAAACAAUUUGUACAAAUUCCCAUCGAGCAGGUGUUCACGGUGAGCGGCUACUGAACUUGUACGGCUGCUGCUUUUGGACUGCCCAGGAAGCACAUCAUUAUAGAAGGCAAAAUCUGUAACCUAUAUAAUUCAUGUUUGUUCUGACCUCUUGUUCCUCUAAAGCAGCCAAAUACCGGUGCACCUAGUAGUUCAAAAUUACACCAGAUGGCCGGUGACCCCCUCUACUAGCUCCUCGGGGAUGUCUUGGUAGUAGCUAGGAUCCCCUACAACAGCCAAAUCCUGGUGCACCCAGCCACCGCUCGUGAUCCCCUCUUCUUCAGCUCCAAUUCGCUGUGCCGCCAGUCUGCAGGAGUAGGGACGUUGUGCCCAUCAACAAAAAGGAAACAAAAGAAAGGAAAUCUUAAAGAUGUCUUUAUCUCCCUCCCAAUGUCGAGGACUAUGGGAAGAUCGUCGGAAGCUGCUGCGUGCACUAGGGUCUGAUUAUAUGUGAGAAAGAAUGAUCUGGCCACUUGUAAUGGUGGUGGUAAUUCGAGCAGCAACCUAAAGAGGUACCACGCUUCCGCCUGGACGAAUGACUUGUGCACCUUUAGCUGGAGAUGUCGAUGCUUUUGUGGUGUUGUUCUCCAUCAAUUUGAAUGAAGAGAAUUGCAUAUGCAUAUUCUUGACCUUA